AAAACAACAAACAGGGAACUUGGGAGAAGAUUUUGGGUGAAUGACAAUAACGCUUUCUGGGGAAUCCAUUGGCGAAGGUGCCACUGGGAGUGGCCCAAAGGAAAAGAAGCAGUAGCCACCCGCAAAGGCAGAAGAGUUUGACGGAUGCUGCUGGAAUUCUCUGUCAAAUGGUGCUAUCAUUCAUGGCUCAUCUCCACACCAGAUGAAAUCACUACAAUGAAAGGGUAUCCUGGAGUGUUAAAUAUUCAAAAAGCUUCAAUGGGAAAACAUCUUCUUUUUCUUUGAAAACUUCAUCAAUUUAAAUUUAACGCCUGAAGAGAAGAAACACUGUACAUCUGAUCACAUCAUCUUUUUGCAACCUCCCUCUCUCUUAACCGCCUCCCCGCACCCUGCUUCUGUCGUAGGAACUAUUCCGGUUGCCAGUUUAAAUCGUUUCAGCAAACUAUUAUUGGAAAAGUCAGAACUAAGAUGAGAACUGUUACAUUUCUUUGUGUGGCCAUAAUGAGGUUAUUUAUGGUAGAUGGAGGCAACACUGUAGGAAAGAUUAAAGGUUUUGAUAAUAAAGGAAAGCAAAAGCUCAGGAUCCGGGUCCCUUCGUAUAGCAAUGACUCUCAAGAUCGGAUAAAUCACCCAAGCAACCAUUAAAACUUCAAGAAGAUUGCUUGUAAACCUCUAAGCAAUGCCAAUAAAGCAUAUUCCUGGCCAUGUAGCAGCCCAUAUGGUGGGCCUCAGCAGUUUUUCUAAACCAAAGGCUAUUCACGAUUUAACCCAACUGCCUUCCUUUGCGAGGCAGAGAGCCAAUGAACCACUAUCAAAUCAAUUCAGUCAUUAAAUUUGGGAGGAAGAGAGUGUCAGAGAAGUGACUGGGAAACCUAGUGCUAUCUGGUGGGAACAGAUAAUUGUAGAAGAUCAACCUAAGUUGGUGGAGUUUGUAGUGUUCCCACUUUCGGCCUACCUUGUGAUUUACCGUUCCUCUUACUUCUCAAGAUCUCCCACCAAGAGAGACUUUAAAACUUCAAUUUUAUUGGGGAUCAGGAAGUCAGGAAAAUAUUCUGACUCCCCUCCUCCCCCCAGGCUGUACUUAAUUUGCAUUUUAAAAAGUCAAGUCUAAUUGUCUAUAACUUCCCUGUCCUUUCACUUGAAAAGGCCAAAACUGUGGAGACAUUAGUAAAUCACAAGGGUAAAUUGGACGUAACUUCUCCUAAAAUCUAGUUAGUCUUUUCAUGCAGUGUUUGGGUAAAAUUUUAUAUUUUCUUUAAACUCAACCUGAUAAUGUAAACAAGAAUGACGUUUUGGUGAAAACUAGACCAAAACGUUCAACAUUUGCAAGUUGAUGUCAUGAAAGGCCCCUUUCUUUUAAUGAGCACAUAUUUCAAAGUUCGAAGACAACAAAAGCAGAGCCAAAAUAAUAACUUGGUCAAAUAAAAUCUUUCAGCAGUGUGGCA
Ornithorhynchus anatinus (platypus) is the source of this 1445-nucleotide long non-coding RNA. RefSeq lists it as uncharacterized. The record is from RefSeq and is a predicted model, not a curated record. The transcript has 2 exons. Lineage: Eukaryota; Metazoa; Chordata; Mammalia; Monotremata; Ornithorhynchidae.